GAGGGGGAGGGAUGUGGGGGGAGUGUACGGUGUUCUGGGCCAGGCUUCCAGAACCUUUAAUUCAGAAUCAGAAUAAAUUUAUAGAAAUCUAAACUACUGCAUCGAUUUUCUUCAAACUUUUUGUGUAAACUUACAGUAAUUUAUCUCAGCGGAUAGGUAAGUUUCGAUUCAUUUGGUAAUACUAAAUUUUAUUUCAUUUUAUGCGGAUUUAGUCAUUAGCUUUUUGUGACUUAGGACAACCACAACAUCAAUUCGAUUGUCUGUUUGUUUUGUUUUUGUUGCUGAUUUACCAGUUACCGAACGUUGUCAUCAUGUUGACAUGGCAAAAGACUAUACUAUGGAUUACCUUAUUCAUCAUUGUCAUUGUAAUUGUUUCGCAUAGCUAAAUGCUUCAUGAAGGGAAAAUGACCAUGAUUUUCAUGGUAGUGUAUUAAACCAUUUCUCUGAGUCACUCACUGAUUUUGUUGUGACGCCCAGUAAAAUGACCAUUAAAUGGGUUUGCUUGAUUUUCAUGGUAGUGCACUAAACCAUUUCUGUGAGUCACUCACUGAUAUCAACACCAUAUGAUGAGUAGUCAUCAUGUAUGGCUAAUGAUUAGAAGUUAGACAUGAAUAUGUAUCGUCCUCACCUAAAUUUGGAUGUGCACAUGUCUGUUUCAGAAAGAAAGUUAAGGAUAGGAGAAGAUGAGCACAUUAGCUUAGGCAUACCAGUAAUUUUAAAUCUACGUUGAUUGCAUCUGUUGGAAAAAUGGAAAUUUAUUUAACAUUUGAUUUUAACUGAAUAGUCGUAUGUGUAAUAUAUUUUCAAAUGCAAUCAUUGAUGUCUUAAAAUCUUCGAGAGCUGUGCCGUAUCACGACAGAAAUGUUUACCUAAAUCACAUUUUGACUUGGCAUUGUUGUAAUCAUUGUAAUUUUUCAUUUUCUAAUAUACCACCGUUUUAACUAUU
Daphnia pulex (common water flea) is the source of this 946-nucleotide long non-coding RNA. RefSeq lists it as uncharacterized. The transcript is spliced from 4 exons. NCBI's taxonomy places the organism in Eukaryota, Metazoa, Arthropoda, Branchiopoda, Diplostraca, Daphniidae. The record is from RefSeq and is a predicted model, not a curated record.